This is a microRNA precursor of Carassius auratus (goldfish), 65 nucleotides long. Ensembl annotates it as microRNA 27a. Its record names the gene mir27a. The record is from Ensembl. Lineage: Eukaryota; Metazoa; Chordata; Actinopteri; Cypriniformes; Cyprinidae.
CAGGACUUAGCUCACUCUGUGAACAGAUCUCGGAUAUCCUAUGUUCACAGUGGCUAAGUUCCGCU